CGCGGGUGUUCAUCUAUUAGCUAUUAGCCGACUAGCCUUCAGAUUCCACUGAGGACACAGUGAAGGAACUAGUAUCACAUGCACUGGUGUCCUCAGAAACGUGUCCUUUCAUAGAUGAAUAUGCAGCAUCAUUGGAAAACUGCAGGACUGCCAGAAUACUGACUGUGCAUUUGGAAAUGUGGUUGAUGCCGAGGCCAGAAUCCUAACAUGGCGGACAAAAGGGACUUCGGAAAACAUCAGUUUGGUUACUUCUGUCCCUAUCCAUUACUUUAUUUCCAGGUGGAAAGAAGGCAACAUGUGCACCAUGGGAUGAGGUAGUAGGUUGUAUAGUUUUAGGGUCACACCCACACUGGGAGAUAACUAUACAGCCUACUGUCUUUCUCAAAGUGAAAACGGAGCUACGGAGUAUCAUCCUACGUUUCCUGAUGUUUAAUAUCAAUGAUAGCUUUGUCACGGUAUGUGUUGAAAAUGUUUUUGAUUGUUAAUAGAGGCAGCAAUGCUUGUGCAGUGUGAGGUAGUAGAUUGUAUAGUUGUAGGGUAGUGAUUUUAUCCUGUGUAGCAGAUAACUAUACAAUCUAUUGCCUUCCCUGAGGGGCAGAAAUACACACCAAAUGAGCAUCUAAUUAUUUAAGAAAAUGUGAUGCAUGUGGUUUUUAAAUCAAGAUUGAAUUAUUUUCCUUGUCUAAAGUAUCUUUGUUUUUAACAAAUACAGUAAAUUAUUUCUAAAUUUA
Molecule: long non-coding RNA, 731 nt
Organism: Cyprinus carpio carpio
Lineage: Eukaryota; Metazoa; Chordata; Actinopteri; Cypriniformes; Cyprinidae
Source: Ensembl